Molecule: long non-coding RNA, 378 nt
Organism: Bradysia coprophila
Lineage: Eukaryota; Metazoa; Arthropoda; Insecta; Diptera; Sciaridae
Source: RefSeq, a predicted model, not a curated record
GUACCGACAGGGUUGGUUAGUUUUUGAGCACUUACUUCGGAUCUGUUGAAGUUUAACGAAGAAAACAAAAUAUUGUAAACGCAUUUUAUGAAAAUAUCUCAAUUGGUUUUUCGGUUUUUCAAAACAAAAUACCGUAUCCAAAUAAUCUAAACAAAAUAUUUAUAUGGCACAGCAACGAAUGCAAAGUCGAACAGAAACAAUAUUUUUUUUUAAAGGCGAUUGGAAAUGCACUUUGCCGACAACGAAACAAGCCACAAAAUUCUAGUCUGCCGUUCAUAUCAUACAAUUCGAUCGGUGAAGCACCGGUGUGUGUAAUGUGUGACUCAAAAGAAUGAGAUGUUGAGAACAUUUCUAUGACAACGUCACUUGUGGCAGAAC